Molecule: ribosomal RNA, 255 nt
Filed under: uncultured bacterium
Lineage: Bacteria
Description: partial 16S ribosomal RNA
Rfam family: Bacterial small subunit ribosomal RNA
Source: RNAcentral
UACGGAGGGAGCUAGCGUUGUUCGGAAUUACUGGGCGUAAAGCGUACGUAGGCGGUUAUUCAAGUCAGAGGUGAAAGCCCGGGGCUCAACCCCGGAACGGCCUUUGAAACUAGAUAGCUAGAGUCUUGGAGAGGUUAGUGGAAUUCCGAGUGUAGAGGUGAAAUUCGUAGAUAUUCGGAAGAACACCAGUGGCGAAGGACGACUAACUGGACAAGUACUGACGCUGAGGUACGAAAGCGUGGGGGAGCAAACAGG